Non-coding RNA from Phoenix dactylifera (date palm), 609 nucleotides. The record is from RefSeq and is a predicted model, not a curated record. NCBI's taxonomy places the organism in Eukaryota, Viridiplantae, Streptophyta, Magnoliopsida, Arecales, Arecaceae.
UGUAAUACCCCAUGAAAAAAAAAAGAGAAAAAAAAAAAAGGAAAGAGAGAUGGGCCGGCCCGAAAAGACCGGGCCCAUCCCUCUUUAUACGAUCGUGCCCUAGGCACGAUCGUGGAUGAAGAGAGGAGAAAGGGGAGGGGAGAGCGGCGGCGGCGUGAGCUGAUCGCCGGAGGAGACGAGCGCCGGAGAGGAUCCGGCCGGCCGUGGGGGAAGCUCCACAGCUUCCUUUCCUUCGGUGAAGACCAUCCACAAACCGGGAGAAGAAAGAAGCCGAGCUCGAUUCCUCCGAUUCCUCGCCGGAAAGGCCGCCGGAACACCCAUCGGACUGAGGGGAGGAGUCAGCGGUGCCAGGAGAUUUUGACCAGGGGACUCAGCACCCCAGCUUGUAGCUUGUGAUUCGGACCGUGUUUGAGUCAGUCGACAAUUUCUAGGCACUGGAUUCGUAGAAUCUGUCGGAUGGGACAAGAAGUGAGCUCGAUCUGGAGUCAGACUGCUAGAUAGUUAGAAGUCAAUUUAUCUUUUAUUUAUGGACAUUUGAAAUUAUGUAAUAAAUCAGUACAUUGUAGCUGGAUUAGAUUGAAUUACAUCAAUCUUUGAUUUUGGCAUUUA